GAUGAACGCUGGCGGCGUGCCUAAUACAUGCAAGUCGAGCGAACAGACGAGGAGCUUGCUCCUUCGACGUUAGCGGCGGACGGGUGAGUAACACGUAGGUAACCUACCUAUAAGACUGGCAUAACUUCGGGAAACCGGAGCUAAUACCGGAUAAUAUUUCGAACCGCAUGGUUCGAUAGUGAAAGAUGGCUUUGCUAUCACUUAUAGAUGGACCUGCGCCGUAUUAGCUAGUUGGUAAGGUAACGGCUUACCAAGGCAACGAUACGUAGCCGACCUGAGAGGGUGAUCGGCCACACUGGAACUGAGACACGGUCCAGACUCCUACGGGAGGCAGCAGUAGGGAAUCUUCCGCAAUGGGCGAAAGCCUGACGGAGCAACGCCGCGUGAGUGAUGAAGGUCUUCGGAUCGUAAAACUCUGUUAUUAGGGAAGAACAAACGUGUAAGUAACUGUGCACGUCUUGACGGUACCUAAUCAGAAAGCCACGGCUAACUACGUG
RNAcentral lists this ribosomal RNA (497 nucleotides) under uncultured bacterium. Its description in RNAcentral is "partial 16S ribosomal RNA". It matches the Rfam family "Bacterial small subunit ribosomal RNA", at positions 28 to 507 of the family's 1533-position model. The record is from RNAcentral.